UAACGAGCGCAACCCCUACCCUUUAGUUGCCAUCAGGUAAUGCUGGGGACUCUAAAGGAACUGCCUACGCAAGUAGUGAGGAAGGCGGGGAGUGACGUCAAAUCAGCACGGCCCUUACGUCCAGGGCUACACACGUGCUACAAUGGCCGAUACAGAGGGCAGCUACCUGGUGACAGGAUGCAAAUCUCCAAAGUCGGUCUCAGUUCGGAUCGGAGUCUGCAACCCGACUCCGUGAAGUUGGAUUCGCUAGUAAUCGCGCAUCAGCCAUGGCGCGGUGAAUACGUUCCCGGGCCUU
This 295-nucleotide ribosomal RNA is filed under the name uncultured Sphingobacteriales bacterium. RNAcentral describes it as "partial 16S ribosomal RNA". It matches the Rfam family "Bacterial small subunit ribosomal RNA", at positions 1090 to 1382 of the family's 1533-position model. Lineage: Bacteria; Pseudomonadati; Bacteroidota; Sphingobacteriia; Sphingobacteriales. The record is from RNAcentral.